GUCCACGCCGUAAACGAUGGGUGCUAGGUGUGGGAGGUGUCGACUCCUCCCGUGCCGCAGCUAACGCAUUAAGCACCCCGCCUGGGGAGUACGGCCGCAAGGCUAAAACUCAAAGGAAUUGACGGGGGCCCGCACAAGCAGCGGAGCAUGUUGUUUAAUUCGAUGCGACGCGAAGAACCUUACCAGGGCUUGACAUGCACCGGAAAUCCGUAGAAAUACGGCCCUCCUUCGGGACCGGUGCACAGGUGGUGCAUGGCUGUCGU
RNAcentral lists this ribosomal RNA (263 nucleotides) under uncultured bacterium. RNAcentral's name for it is "partial 16S ribosomal RNA". It matches the Rfam family "Bacterial small subunit ribosomal RNA", at positions 793 to 1055 of the family's 1533-position model. The record is from RNAcentral.